CGGGUCUCUAGUGGCGAACGGGUGAGUAACACGUAGGGAACCUGCCCGCGCACCGGGAAUACGCUCUGGAAACGGAGAACAAAUCCCGAUGUACAGGAAGGAGGCAUCUUCUUUCUGUGAAACAUCCUUUAGGGGAUGGGGCGCGGAUGGACCUGCGGUGCAUUAGUUUGUUGGCGGGGUAAAGGCCCACCAAGACGAUGAUGCAUAGCCGGCCUGAGAGGGCGGACGGCCACAUUGGGACUGAGACACGGCCCAGACUCCUGCGGGAGGCAGCAGUAGGGAAUUUUCGUCAAUGGGCGCAAGCCUGAACGAGCGAUGCCGCGUGAGUGAAGAAGGCCUUCGGGUCGUAAAGCUCUGUUGCGGGGGAAAAAAGGCAGCAUCAGGAAAUGGGUGCUGACUGAUGGUGCCCCGCCAGAAAGUCACGGCUAACUACGUGCCAGCAGCCGCGGUAAUACGUAGGUGGCGAGCGUUAUCCGGAAUGAUUGGGCGUAAAGGGUGCGCAGGCGGUCCUGCAAGUCUGGAGUGAAACGCAUGAGCUCAACUCAUGCAUGGCUUUGGAAACUGGAGGACUGGAGAGCAGGAGAGGGCGGUGGAACUCCAUGUGUAGCGGUAAAAUGCGUAGAUAUAUGGAAGAACACCAGUGGCGAAGGCGGCCGCCUGGCCUGUUGCUGACGCUGAGGCACGAAAGCGUGGGGAGCAAAUAGGAUUAGAUACCCUAGUAGUCCACGCCGUAAACGAUGAGGACCAAGUGUUGGGGGUGAAACCUCAGUGCUGAAGU
This 778-nucleotide ribosomal RNA is filed under the name uncultured bacterium. RNAcentral's name for it is "bacterial SSU rRNA". It matches the Rfam family "Bacterial small subunit ribosomal RNA", at positions 85 to 852 of the family's 1533-position model. The record is from RNAcentral.